RNAcentral lists this ribosomal RNA (755 nucleotides) under uncultured bacterium. RNAcentral's name for it is "bacterial SSU rRNA". It matches the Rfam family "Bacterial small subunit ribosomal RNA", at positions 62 to 804 of the family's 1533-position model. The record is from RNAcentral.
UCGAGCGAGAACCAGGCCUUCGGGCCUGGGGAAAGCGGCGAACGGGUGAGUAACACGUGGGUAACCCACCCUUGGUACUGGGAUAGCCCGGGGAAACCCGGAUUAAUACCGGAUGGCCUAACAGCUCUUCGGGGCGGUUGGAAAAGGUAGCCUCGGCCUCCGACCAAGGACGGGCCCGCGGCGGAUUAGCUUGUUGGCGGGGUAACGGCCCACCAAGACGACGAUCCGUAGCUGGUCUGAGAGGACGAUCAGCCACACUGGGACUGAGACACGGCCCAGACUCCUACGGGAGGCAGCAGUGGGGAAUCUUGCGCAAUGGGCGAAAGCCUGACGCAGCGACGCCGCGUGGGGGAAGAAGGCUUUCGGGUUGUAAACCCCUUUCAGGAAGGACGAAGCCACUCGGGUGAACAGCCCAGAGGGUGACGGUACUUCCAGAAGAAGCCCCGGCUAACUACGUGCCAGCAGCCGCGGUAAUACGUAGGGGGCAAGCGUUGUCCGGAUUUAUUGGGCGUAAAGAGCGUGUAGGCGGUUUGGUAGGUCCGCUGUGAAAACUCGAGGCUCAACCUCGAGACGCCGGUGGAAACCAUCAGACUAGAGUCCGGAAGAGGAGAGUGGAAUUCCUGGUGUAGCGGUGAAAUGCGCAGAUAUCAGGAAGAACACCCGUGGCUAAGGCGGCUCUCUAGUACGGUACUGACGCUGAGACGCGAAAGCGUGGGGAGCGAACAGGAUUAGAUACCCUGGUAGUCCACGCCGUA